Molecule: long non-coding RNA, 856 nt
Filed under: Mytilus galloprovincialis (Mediterranean mussel)
Lineage: Eukaryota; Metazoa; Mollusca; Bivalvia; Mytilida; Mytilidae
Source: RNAcentral
UAGAAAUUGAAAUAACUGAUAAUCCUUCUUCUAAUAAAAUUAUCAUUCACCUCCAUUCUGACGAAACACAAACCCAGACUGGGUUUCAAGUAACUUAUAAAACAUUUUGGUAAGUGCAUCUGGCAUUUAAUUACACCUUGUUUUAAAAAUUCAUGAUAACUAAUAGUUAAGUAAAACAGAACAUAACAUUGUGGCAGAAACAAUGCUGAAUUCGUUAAUAACCUGUAUUUUUUUUAAAAGGCAGUGAACAAACGACUGUUUACAAAACACAACACAUAAAACUAAAGUUUUAGUAACAAGAAUCUAACAGAAGGGCUUUGACAGGUUAUGAUUUCAAAAGUAGCACAAUACUAGGAAACCGGAGGAUUGUCAUUACAUUAUAGAUAGUACUUAAAUUGUUAUUAUUCAUCAAAAGACUAGAAAAAACAUUAAAAAAAACCAAAGGCAGAAAAUCACAAUACAAAUAAACAUUGAAUUUCACUACACUACAAAAUCAUAAACACACCUGCAUAGCAACAAUAUUACUUUAGGAUUAAUCAAAUAUCAAACAGUAUUAUGUUUUUCAAUCCAAAUAGUUGAGAACGGAAAUGUUUAUCAAUUGUAUCUUAUGAAUUUUGAAUUAAACGUGUAAACGUAUUUUAUUUCAUGUUAUUUAUCUUAAUUUUUGUUUCAGAUGACAGACCUGCUCUUACAUGUACAUGACUAAGUGGAAAUACAUCUAAUAGAAACAGUCAUAAAUACGUUUAAAACAAGCUAUGCUCCAUAAUGUAUCUAAUAAGUUAAUAUUGGCUUUGAACUUAGUGUCAGUAACUGAGAGUACUCUCAGAUCUGUAUCUGGUGGCUAUGACGUACCCAG